GUGGCUGUGGCUCAGAAGUAGAGCACUUGCCUAGCACACACGAGGCUCUGGGUUCGAUCCUCAGCACCACA
This 71-nucleotide transfer RNA is filed under the name Ictidomys tridecemlineatus (thirteen-lined ground squirrel). Its description in RNAcentral is "Spermophilus tridecemlineatus (thirteen-lined ground squirrel) tRNA". It matches the Rfam family "tRNA". From Rfam's summary of the family: Transfer RNA (tRNA) molecules are approximately 80 nucleotides in length. Their secondary structure includes four short double-helical elements and three loops (D, anti-codon, and T loops). Further hydrogen bonds mediate the characteristic L-shaped molecular structure. tRNAs have two regions of fundamental functional importance: the anti-codon, which is responsible for specific mRNA codon recognition, and the 3' end, to which the tRNAs corresponding amino acid is attached (by aminoacyl-tRNA synthetases). tRNAs cope with the degeneracy of the genetic code in two manners: having more than one tRNA (with a specific anti-codon) for a particular amino acid; and 'wobble' base-pairing, i.e. permitting non-standard base-pairing at the 3rd anti-codon position. The record is from Rfam by way of RNAcentral. Lineage: Eukaryota; Metazoa; Chordata; Mammalia; Rodentia; Sciuridae.